This 2775-nucleotide ribosomal RNA is filed under the name Salmonella enterica subsp. enterica serovar Montevideo. Its description in RNAcentral is "bacterial LSU rRNA". It matches the Rfam family "Bacterial large subunit ribosomal RNA". Lineage: Bacteria; Pseudomonadati; Pseudomonadota; Gammaproteobacteria; Enterobacterales; Enterobacteriaceae. The record is from RNAcentral.
AGCGUACACGGUGGAUGCCCUGGCAGUCAGAGGCGAUGAAGGGCGUGCUAAUCUGCGAUAAGCGCCGGUAAGGUGAUAUGAACCGUUAUAACCGGCGAUACCCGAAUGGGGAAACCCAGUGUGACUCGUCACACUAUCAUUAACUGAAUCCAUAGGUUAAUGAGGCGAACCGGGGGAACUGAAACAUCUAAGUACCCCGAGGAAAAGAAAUCAACCGAGAUUCCCCCAGUAGCGGCGAGCGAACGGGGAGGAGCCCAGAGCCUGAAUCAGCAUGUGUGUUAGUGGAAGCGUCUGGAAAGGCGCGCGAUACAGGGUGACAGCCCCGUACACAAAAGCGCACAUGCUGUGAGCUCGAUGAGUAGGGCGGGACACGUGGUAUCCUGUCUGAAUAUGGGGGGACCAUCCUCCAAGGCUAAAUACUCCUGACUGACCGAUAGUGAACCAGUACCGUGAGGGAAAGGCGAAAAGAACCCCGGCGAGGGGAGUGAAAAAGAACCUGAAACCGUGUACGUACAAGCAGUGGGAGCACAGGUUUACCUGUGUGACUGCGUACCUUUUGUAUAAUGGGUCAGCGACUUAUAUUCUGUAGCAAGGUUAACCGAAUAGGGGAGCCGGAGGGAAACCGAGUCUUAACCGGGCGUUAAGUUGCAGGGUAUAGACCCGAAACCCGGUGAUCUAGCCAUGGGCAGGUUGAAGGUUGGGUAACACUAACUGGAGGACCGAACCGACUAAUGUUGAAAAAUUAGCGGAUGACCUGUGGCUGGGGGUGAAAGGCCAAUCAAACCGGGAGAUAGCUGGUUCUCCCCGAAAGCUAUUUAGGUAGCGCCUCGUGAAUUCAUCUCCGGGGGUAGAGCACUGUUUCGGCUAGGGGGCCAUCCCGGCUUACCAACCCGAUGCAAACUGCGAAUACCGGAGAAUGUUAUCACGGGAGACACACGGCGGGUGCUAACGUCCGUCGUGAAGAGGGAAACAACCCAGACCGCCAGCUAAGGUCCCAAAGUCAUGGUUAAGUGGGAAACGAUGUGGGAAGGCCCAGACAGCCAGGAUGUUGGCUUAGAAGCAGCCAUCAUUUAAAGAAAGCGUAAUAGCUCACUGGUCGAGUCGGCCUGCGCGGAAGAUGUAACGGGGCUAAACCAUGCACCGAAGCUGCGGCAGCGACGCUGAUGCGUUGUUGGGUAGGGGAGCGUUCUGUAAGCCUGCGAAGGUGGCCUGUGAGGGUUGCUGGAGGUAUCAGAAGUGCGAAUGCUGACAUAAGUAACGAUAAAGCGGGUGAAAAGCCCGCUCGCCGGAAGACCAAGGGUUCCUGUCCAACGUUAAUCGGGGCAGGGUGAGUCGACCCCUAAGGCGAGGCCGAAAGGCGUAGUCGAUGGGAAACGGGUUAAUAUUCCCGUACUUGGUGUUACUGCGAAGGGGGGACGGAGAAGGCUAUGUUGGCCGGGCGACGGUUGUCCCGGUUUAAGCGUGUAGGCUGGUUUUCCAGGCAAAUCCGGAAAAUCAAGGCUGAGGCGUGAUGACGAGGCACUACGGUGCUGAAGCAACAAAUGCCCUGCUUCCAGGAAAAGCCUCUAAGCAUCAGGUAACACGAAAUCGUACCCCAAACCGACACAGGUGGUCAGGUAGAGAAUACCAAGGCGCUUGAGAGAACUCGGGUGAAGGAACUAGGCAAAAUGGUGCCGUAACUUCGGGAGAAGGCACGCUGACAUGUAGGUGAAGUGAUUUACUCAUGGAGCUGAAGUCAGUCGAAGAUACCAGCUGGCUGCAACUGUUUAUUAAAAACACAGCACUGUGCAAACACGAAAGUGGACGUAUACGGUGUGACGCCUGCCCGGUGCCGGAAGGUUAAUUGAUGGGGUCAGCGCAAGCGAAGCUCCUGAUCGAAGCCCCGGUAAACGGCGGCCGUAACUAUAACGGUCCUAAGGUAGCGAAAUUCCUUGUCGGGUAAGUUCCGACCUGCACGAAUGGCGUAAUGAUGGCCAGGCUGUCUCCACCCGAGACUCAGUGAAAUUGAACUCGCUGUGAAGAUGCAGUGUACCCGCGGCAAGACGGAAAGACCCCGUGAACCUUUACUAUAGCUUGACACUGAACAUUGAGCCUUGAUGUGUAGGAUAGGUGGGAGGCUUUGAAGUGUGGACGCCAGUCUGCAUGGAGCCGACCUUGAAAUACCACCCUUUAAUGUUUGAUGUUCUAACGUGGACCCGUGAUCCGGGUUGCGGACAGUGUCUGGUGGGUAGUUUGACUGGGGCGGUCUCCUCCUAAAGAGUAACGGAGGAGCACGAAGGUUGGCUAAUCCUGGUCGGACAUCAGGAGGUUAGUGCAAUGGCAUAAGCCAGCUUGACUGCGAGCGUGACGGCGCGAGCAGGUGCGAAAGCAGGUCAUAGUGAUCCGGUGGUUCUGAAUGGAAGGGCCAUCGCUCAACGGAUAAAAGGUACUCCGGGGAUAACAGGCUGAUACCGCCCAAGAGUUCAUAUCGACGGCGGUGUUUGGCACCUCGAUGUCGGCUCAUCACAUCCUGGGGCUGAAGUAGGUCCCAAGGGUAUGGCUGUUCGCCAUUUAAAGUGGUACGCGAGCUGGGUUUAGAACGUCGUGAGACAGUUCGGUCCCUAUCUGCCGUGGGCGCUGGAGAACUGAGGGGGGCUGCUCCUAGUACGAGAGGACCGGAGUGGACGCAUCACUGGUGUUCGGGUUGUCAUGCCAAUGGCACUGCCCGGUAGCUAAAUGCGGAAGAGAUAAGUGCUGAAAGCAUCUAAGCACGAAACUUGCCCCGAGAUGAGUUCU